Molecule: long non-coding RNA, 1146 nt
Organism: Aedes albopictus (Asian tiger mosquito)
Lineage: Eukaryota; Metazoa; Arthropoda; Insecta; Diptera; Culicidae
Exons: 3
Source: RefSeq, a predicted model, not a curated record
ACGAGGCUACGCCAACUGAAAAGCACGGCACGGGAAGACAAAAGCCGGGAAAACAAAAGCCACUUCGACCGCGUGACCGAUCGGACGAAGUUGUCCGUGCUAGAAACCACCAAAUACGACGCAGCAGUCGCACGACCAUCUUUCUCAUCGGUGCGGAGGAACAACGUUCCGGCGAAGAUAGCGGAGGAUUAACGUUCCGGCGAAGCUAGGUCCGGAAAGCCGAGAAUAGCGUAGGGCCGGAAACAAGUGCUGACAUUGUCUCCCACGUGCCGAUAACGAAAUUUGGAGAAUAGAAGACCCCUGUCGAUCUAGACCCCUGUCGAGGCUAGACAGGACGGAAUACACAAUAUCCUGCCUGGGCGGCUAGGAAUGCGGCACGGAGCCUCGUGCGGAAGUGGAGGAUCAGUCCCGUCCGUUAGGACUCAGCGAGCUUCAGCAACCCUUGAGCUUCGAAAGGCCUUCUACGAGAAGUAGGUUACGAAAGCGAGAUAAUAACAUUCAGAGGCUAACGGUAUAUCGCAUCAGGGCCUUUAUUUCCAGGUUCCAAAUAGCUAAGAAAACAAGCUCGCGGCUCGAGUUGAGGCUUUCGGUGUUCAGAGGCGAGAGGCUUGGCCACGGAACUGACGGCCAGUAAGGCAGAAGCUGCGAGGUCUGUAGGCUCUUCAUCCUGCCAAGCUCCAUCGAUCACGGACGAUUGCCAUCGUUCGCGGAAAGGACGAUUCGGUCGUAGGAAGAACGGAGAGGAGAGCAGAGGCCAGUGCGUUUGUCUCGUCGACUGCAUCGCCAGCAAGAUCGGGUGCGGAGCAUCCAUGAGCCGAUGGAAUCCACGACUGGAUGGGUUCGGAGCAAGAAUCGGCGGGCCCAGUAAAGGCGCAACUUUUGGUGGCGCUGAACCGGAGCAAGGAGACCGGGGCGAAACGGUGGCGGCCGAAGAAUGGGUGCACCCAAGGAAAAGCGUGAGUAGGCUAAGAAAAUCAUGUUAGAGUAGGAAAGAAAAGCGCGCACAGAUAGAAGAUCUUGUCAGUAGGCUGUAGGAAGACAAUAUGUCUAAUAAAUACUGUACGUUAUAAAGCCUUAAAAUUCGGAUUUUGAUCAGUUUUGUGUGCCCUAUCUUUGUUGAGCUAUCCGGGGCUGAUCGAGGGCUUC